This is a long non-coding RNA of Nymphaea colorata (pocket water lily), 745 nucleotides long. RefSeq lists it as uncharacterized. The transcript is spliced from 2 exons. Lineage: Eukaryota; Viridiplantae; Streptophyta; Magnoliopsida; Nymphaeales; Nymphaeaceae. The record is from RefSeq and is a predicted model, not a curated record.
GACUACAUGAAAAGUAAAAUCCCAUGCCAAAACUUUGAUUUCCUUCUGCAAUUCCUCCCAACAAAGUUUGGUUCCAUGGGGUUCAGAAGAAUUCAGGUGAAUGAAAAGUCUAGUUUCUUUGAAGUAUAGAAGAUUUGAGGAAGAAAAGUAAGGCCAAAUUUUUGCUUCUGACGACUAUGGGUGUAAGAUUUUUGCAUAGGUGGUUUUCUUUUAUUAUCUUCAUUUUGAUGAGAGUUGGAGGAUAGUAAUUGAGAAUCCAGGUUGGUAAUUGGAAAACUGGGCCAGGCACGUACAAAACAGAGGGCUCGACCUAGUGUCCACUAAAUCCUAGGCCUAGCCCCACUUGGCUAUUAACGGGCUGGGUAAUGGGUCUGGCAGUAACUCAAUUGGGCCUACCAGACCUUCACGGUGAUGGCUUGGCCUGAUGCCGACCCCUAAUCACAAUAAGGGGACAAUUGGGUCCAAUUAAAGUAAGAAAUUUUAGUAAGGAAAAACAACAGAUUUCUUUUUGGUCUCUUUUCUUUUUGAGGAAAUAAAGGGACUGACAAUGGCUUUGCGAGGUGAAAUUAACAACACAAAGGAGAAACAGAGAGCUGUCAACUCUCCGGAGUAGUUUAAAAUCGGAAGUUAGGGUUUGUAUUCCUUGGUGUGUGAAAUUUGGUUCUGUCCUUUCUUCAUUUCGUGAUCUUUACGCUGAAACAUGUUUAGUCCAUGGUACUUAAUUCAAAAAUUUUUACAAUGAUUA